GCGAGCUUGGCGGAAUGGUAGACGCACGAGACUUAAAAUCUCGGGUCCGUUUAGGGCGUGCGGGUUCAAGUCCCGCAGUUCGCACCA
RNAcentral lists this transfer RNA (87 nucleotides) under Entomobacter blattae. Its description in RNAcentral is "tRNA-Leu". It matches the Rfam family "tRNA". Rfam says of the family: Transfer RNA (tRNA) molecules are approximately 80 nucleotides in length. Their secondary structure includes four short double-helical elements and three loops (D, anti-codon, and T loops). The record is from RNAcentral. Lineage: Bacteria; Pseudomonadati; Pseudomonadota; Alphaproteobacteria; Acetobacterales; Acetobacteraceae.